AGGAAGCACCGGCUAACUCCGUGCCAGCAGCCGCGGUAAUACGGGGGGUGCAAGCGUUGUUCGGAUUUAUUGGGCGUAAAGCGCGUGUAGGCGGUUUUAUAAGUCUGAUGUGAAAGCCCUGGGCUCAACCCGGGAAGUGCAUUGGAUACUGUAAGACUUGAAUACGGGAGAGGGCAGUGGAAUUCCUAGUGUAGGAGUGAAAUCCGUAGAUAUUAGGAGGAACACCGGUGGCGAAGGCGGCUGCCUGGACCGAUAUUGACGCUGAGACGCGAAAGCGUGGGUAGCAAACAGGAUUAGAUACCCUGGUAGUCCACGCNGUAAACGAUGAGAACUAGGUGUCGCGGGUAAAUCG
This 352-nucleotide ribosomal RNA is filed under the name uncultured Geobacter sp. RNAcentral's name for it is "bacterial SSU rRNA". It matches the Rfam family "Bacterial small subunit ribosomal RNA", at positions 485 to 836 of the family's 1533-position model. Lineage: Bacteria; Pseudomonadati; Thermodesulfobacteriota; Desulfuromonadia; Geobacterales; Geobacteraceae. The record is from RNAcentral.